GACGAACGCUGGCGGCGUGCUUAACACAUGCAAGUCGAACGGAAAGGCCCUGCUUUUGCGGGGCGCUCGAGUGGCGAACGGGUGAGUAACACGUGAGUAACCUGCCCUUGACUUUGGGAUAACUUCAGGAAACUGGGGCUAAUACCGGAUAGGAGCUCCUGCUGCAUGGUGGGGGUUGGAAAGUUUCGGCGGUUGGGGAUGGACUCGCGGCUUAUCCGCUUGUUGGUGGGGUAGUGGCUUACCAAGGCUUUGACGGGUAGCCGGCCUGAGAGGGUGACCGGCCACAUUGGGACUGAGAUACGGACCAGACUCCUACGGGAGGCAGCAGUGGAGAAUAUUGCACAAUGGGCGGAAGCCUGAUGCAACAGCGCCGCGUGCGGGAUGACGGCCUUCGGGUUGUAAACCGCUUUCGCCUGUGACGAAGCGUGAGUGACGGUAAUGGGUAAAGAAGCACCGGCUAACUACGUG
RNAcentral lists this ribosomal RNA (468 nucleotides) under uncultured bacterium. Its description in RNAcentral is "partial 16S ribosomal RNA". It matches the Rfam family "Bacterial small subunit ribosomal RNA", at positions 28 to 507 of the family's 1533-position model. The record is from RNAcentral.